This 637-nucleotide ribosomal RNA is filed under the name uncultured bacterium. RNAcentral's name for it is "bacterial SSU rRNA". It matches the Rfam family "Bacterial small subunit ribosomal RNA", at positions 202 to 842 of the family's 1533-position model. The record is from RNAcentral.
UAAAGGUAUUCCGGUAGACGAUGGGGAUGCGUUCCAUUAGAUAGUAGGCGGGGUAACGGCCCACCUAGUCUUCGAUGGAUAGGGGUUCUGAGAGGAAGGUCCCCCACAUUGGAACUGAGACACGGUCCAAAUUCCUACGGGAGGCAGCAGUGAGGAAUAUUGGUCAAUGGGCGAGAGCCUGAACCAGCCAAGUAGCGUGAAGGAUGACUGCCCUAUGGGUUGUAAACUUCUUUUAUAAAGGAAUAAAGUCGGGUAUGCAUACCCGUUUGCAUGUACUUUAUGAAUAAGGAUCGGCUAACUCCGUGCCAGCAGCCGCGGUAAUACGGAGGAUCCGAGCGUUAUCCGGAUUUAUUGGGUUUAAAGGGAGCGUAGAUGGAUGUUUAAGUCAGUUGUGAAAGUUUGCGGCUCAACCGUAAAAUUGCAGUUGAUACUGGAUAUCUUGAGUGCAGUUGAGGCAGGCGGAAUUCGUGGUGUAGCGGUGAAAUGCUUAGAUAUCACGAAGAACUCCGAUUGCGAAGGCAGCCUGCUAAGCUGCAACUGACAUUGAGGCUCGAAAGUGUGGGUAUCAAACAGGAUUAGAUACCCUGGUAGUCCACACGGUAAACGAUGAAUACUCGCUGUUUGCGAUAUACUGCAA